This 488-nucleotide ribosomal RNA is filed under the name uncultured bacterium. RNAcentral describes it as "partial 16S ribosomal RNA". It matches the Rfam family "Bacterial small subunit ribosomal RNA", at positions 28 to 507 of the family's 1533-position model. The record is from RNAcentral.
GAUGAACGCUAGCGGCAGGCUUAACACAUGCAAGUCGAGGGGCAGCAUAAUGGAUAGCAAUAUCUAUGGUGGCGACCGGCGCACGGGUGCGUAACGCGUAUGCAACCUACCUUUAACAGGGGGAUAACACUGAGAAAUUGGUACUAAUACCCCAUAAUAUCAUAGAAGGCAUCUUUUAUUGUUGAAAAUUCCGAUGGUUAGAGAUGGGCAUGCGUUGUAUUAGCUAGUUGGUGGGGUAACGGCUCACCAAGGCGACGAUACAUAGGGGGACUGAGAGGUUAACCCCCCACACUGGUACUGAGGCACGGACCAGACUCCUACGGGAGGCAGCAGUGAGGAAUAUUGGUCAAUGGACGCAAGUCUGAACCAGCCAUGCCGCGUGCAGGAUGACGGCUCUAUGAGUUGUAAACUGCUUUUGUACGAGGGUAAACGCAGAUACGUGUAUCUGUCUGAAAGUAUCGUACGAAUAAGGAUCGGCUAACUCCGUG